Molecule: ribosomal RNA, 466 nt
Filed under: Drosophila medialis
Lineage: Eukaryota; Metazoa; Arthropoda; Insecta; Diptera; Drosophilidae
Description: partial 16S ribosomal RNA
Rfam family: Bacterial large subunit ribosomal RNA
Source: RNAcentral
UUUAAAUGGCCGCAGUAUUCUAACUGUGCAAAGGUAGCAUAAUCAUUAGUCUUUUAAUUGAAGGCUGGAAUGAAUGGUUGGACGAAAUAUUAACUGUUUCAUUUAAAUUUUUUAUAGAAUUUUAUUUUUUAGUCAAAAAGCUAAAAUAAAUUUAAAAGACGAGAAGACCCUAUAAAUCUUUAUAUUUUGUUUAUUUUAAUUAUAAAGAUUAUUUUUAUUAUAAUAAAUUAAAAUAUUUUAUUGGGGUGAUAUUAAAAUUUAAAAAACUUUUAAUUUUUAAAACCAUUAAUUUAUGAAUAAUUGAUCCAUUAAUAAUGAUUAAAAAUUUAAGUUACUUUAGGGAUAACAGCGUAAUUUUUUUGGAGAGUUCAUAUCGAUAAAAAAGAUUGCGACCUCGAUGUUGGAUUAAGAUAUAAUUUUGGGUGUAGCCGUUCAAAUUUUAAGUCUGUUCGACUUUUAAAUUCUU